This 274-nucleotide ribosomal RNA is filed under the name uncultured bacterium. RNAcentral describes it as "partial 16S ribosomal RNA". It matches the Rfam family "Bacterial small subunit ribosomal RNA", at positions 523 to 796 of the family's 1533-position model. The record is from RNAcentral.
AUACGGAGGGUGCGAGCGUUAAUCGGAAUUACUGGGCGUAAAGCGUACGUAGGCGGUUGGUUAAGUUAGAUGUGAAAGCCCCGGGCUUAACCUGGGAACUGCAUUUAAAACUGGCGAACUAGAGUUGAGUAGAGGGGAGUGGAAUUUCAGGUGUAGCGGUGAAAUGCGUAGAGAUCUGAAGGAACACCAGUGGCGAAGGCGACUCCCUGGACUCGAACUGACGCUGAGGUACGAAAGCGUGGGUAGCAAACGGAAUUAGAAACCCCGGUAGUCC